Molecule: small nuclear RNA, 65 nt
Organism: Rattus norvegicus (Norway rat)
Lineage: Eukaryota; Metazoa; Chordata; Mammalia; Rodentia; Muridae
Product: U7 small nuclear RNA
Source: Ensembl
GACUGAACAUAGCUCUUUUAGAAUUUUUCUAGCAGGAUUUUCGACUUUGUUUGGGAAAAUCCAAG